CAGCCGCCACGGUAAUACCGAGGAUGCAAGCGUUAUCCGGAAUGAUUGGGCGUAAAGGGCUCGCAGGCGGUUUCUUAAGUCUAAUGUGAAAGCCCCCGGCUCAACCGGGGAGGGUCAUUGGAAACUGGGAAACUUGAGUGCAGAAGAGGAGAGUGGAAUUCCACGUGUAGCGGUGAAAUGCGUAGAGAUGUGGAGGAACACCGGUGGCGAAAGCGGCUCUCUGGCUUGUAACUGACGCUGAGGCUCGAAAGCGUGGGGCACAAACAGGAUUAGAUACCCCCGUAGUCCCUGUCUCUUAUAC
This 301-nucleotide ribosomal RNA is filed under the name uncultured bacterium. Its description in RNAcentral is "partial 16S ribosomal RNA". It matches the Rfam family "Bacterial small subunit ribosomal RNA", at positions 509 to 807 of the family's 1533-position model. The record is from RNAcentral.